UAUAACCAGCCAUAUUUCAAAAAUUCCAACUUGUUUUUGAAGAUUAAAGUUCAUUCCAAGAAGGUUUCAAGGUGUUUUGAAGAUCCGAAAGUGUUUUCUUGGUGAAACAAGCUUCUAACCAUCAAAAAUCUUGUUAAAACCCACUAAAAACUUGAAAGGUGUAUAUAUUUCGUGUAUAUGUAUGUAUACGUGACGUGUAGAAAUCAAAUUGUGGGAUUGCGCUAUUUAAAAAUACGCACCCAAAGGUGAGUGUCACUAAACCCCUCUUUUUACUGCUUUGUAUAUGUUUUGGGGGUAGAACACCCCAAUAAAAGGGUUUAAUAUUGUUUUUGGAUUAAAACAUACCUUUUAAUAUAAAUUGUUGGUGCAUACGUCUGUCGACUUCAUCUUGU
RNAcentral lists this long non-coding RNA (392 nucleotides) under Helianthus annuus (common sunflower). RNAcentral's name for it is "sRNA HanXRQr2_Chr15g0716501". The record is from RNAcentral. Lineage: Eukaryota; Viridiplantae; Streptophyta; Magnoliopsida; Asterales; Asteraceae.